AAAAAUCCUUUAUUCAUCAACAUUCCCAGCGCCAAUGUCAAACCAGUCGAGCUCCAACAAAUCAAGGAAAAUAGAACCCAUAAAUCAAGAUGAAAUUUUCAGCAGCAAGAACAGAAAUGAAGAUAGAAAUUUUUAGCCGCAAGAACUCAAAACACAAAAAUUGCUCCAACGAAUCAAGGAAAAAAGAAGUCUCGGCAUCGGCGUCGCUGCUCUUAAUGUCGGCGAGGCCAGCUCCUUCGCCUUCAACUUUCCUUCUAUCUCUCUUCUAUCAGAAUGUAGAUCCAACCCUUGUUCCCAUCCUCAACAUCCAACCCAUUACUGUACAAACCCCCAUUCAACCCAUCUCUCGUACCAGAACACACGCAUCUCAAAAUACACACAUAUCCCUCUCUGCGGCUGUUGCGCCGCUGCUACGAGUCCGACGUGUGUUUGUCGCCCUCACCUAGCCUCUCAUUCCCAGAUCUAGCGCAAUGGCGAGAAAAGAGCCGCGCUAACGCGCCGUCGCCUUCACCUCUGCACCGCCGCCAAAGCUCCUCAUCGAAGGCACUACGAGUGAAGAGAACAACGACUGUAGGGCGAGAUGCUCGCGAACUGUCUCGCCACCGGCAUCGUCGUCGAGGAGAAAAGUGUAGAGAGACAGAGGCGGUGACAAAAUCGGUGAAAAGAGAGAGACAAGCGAACUGAAAAAACUAAAGAGAAAGAGAGAGGGCUCUGCAUAGAUCGGCGAAAAGGGUGGAAAUUAGAUAGAAUUAGGGUUUUAUACGGUAAUUAAGUAUGUAAUUAAUUUAGCUCUGAU
Molecule: long non-coding RNA, 796 nt
Filed under: Salvia miltiorrhiza (redroot sage)
Lineage: Eukaryota; Viridiplantae; Streptophyta; Magnoliopsida; Lamiales; Lamiaceae
Description: long non-coding RNA (SMIL_LNC010036)
Source: RNAcentral